AUCGCUUCUCAGCCUUUUGGCUAAAAUCAAGUGUAGUAUCUGUGUAAUUCUAGCUGGGGGGAUUAAAACUUGGGAAAGUAAGUUUUAAAGCUCUGAGGAGGAGGACCUUUUCUGAGAGUAUUCCUGCUAUACUUCCUAAAGGCAGAUUGGGUUUUAUUUUCUACUAACUGAAUUCUAUUUGCAUAGCUC
Small nuclear RNA from Sceloporus undulatus (fence lizard), 189 nucleotides. RefSeq annotates it as U2 spliceosomal RNA. The transcript has a single exon. NCBI's taxonomy places the organism in Eukaryota, Metazoa, Chordata, Lepidosauria, Squamata, Phrynosomatidae. The record is from RefSeq and is a predicted model, not a curated record.